GACGAACGCUGGCGGCGUGCCUAAUACAUGCAAGUUGAGCGCUGAAGGUUGGUACUUGUACCAACUGGAUGAGCAGCGAACGGGUGAGUAACGCGUGGGGAAUCUGCCUUUGAGCGGGGGACAACAUUUGGAAACGAAUGCUAAUACCGCAUAAAAACUUUAAACACAAGUUUUUAGUUUGAAAGAUGCAAUUGCAUCACUCAAAGAUGAUCCCGCGUUGUAUUAGCUAGUUGGUGAGGUAAAGGCUCACCAAGGCGAUGAUACAUAGCCGACCUGAGAGGGUGAUCGGCCACAUUGGGACUGAGACACGGCCCAAACUCCUACGGGAGGCAGCAGUAGGGAAUCUUCGGCAAUGGACGAAAGUCUGACCGAGCAACGCCGCGUGAGUGAAGAAGGUUUUCGGAUCGUAAAACUCUGUUGGUAGAGAAGAACGUUGGUGAGAGUGGAAAGCUCAUCAAGUGACGGUAACUACCCAGAAAGGGACGGCUAACUACGUG
Molecule: ribosomal RNA, 497 nt
Filed under: uncultured bacterium
Lineage: Bacteria
Description: partial 16S ribosomal RNA
Rfam family: Bacterial small subunit ribosomal RNA
Source: RNAcentral